This 457-nucleotide ribosomal RNA is filed under the name uncultured Capnodiales. RNAcentral describes it as "eukaryotic LSU rRNA". The stretch from base 164 to 317 matches the Rfam family "5.8S ribosomal RNA". The record is from RNAcentral. Lineage: Eukaryota; Fungi; Ascomycota; Dothideomycetes; Capnodiales.
CUGCGGAGGGAUCAUUACCGAGCGAGGGCGCUUGCGCCCGACCUCCCAACCCUUUGUCGGACGACACCCCGUUACCUCGGGGGCCGCCUUCGCGGCGUCCCCCGGAGGACCUCAAUCAAAACCCUGCGUCCAUGCGUCGGAGUACCUUUGAUAAAUCAAUCAAAACUUUCAACAACGGAUCUCUUGGUUCUGGCAUCGAUGAAGAACGCAACGAAAUGCGAUAAGUAAUGUGAAUUGCAGAAUUCAGUGAAUCAUCGAAUCUUUGAACGCACAUUGCGCCCCUUGGUAUUCCGGGGGGCAUGCCCGUUCGCACGUCAUUACACCACUCAAGCCUCGCUUGGUCUUGGGCGGCGGGCCCCCGCGCCCCCGCCCCCAGGUCUGCCGGCUGGACGGUUGGGUUCUCAGCGUUGUGAAUCAAGUUCCGCUCGGAUCCCCGGCCGGACGCGCCGUUCAAAUA